CUUCGGUGAUGAUAUGAUGACGAGUCGGAAUGGGCCACGGUCGGUCUCUGGGUCAGGGUCACGUUCUGUGUCUCUGGGUUCAGUUCCCCAGAGCAGUGUGUCUCUUCAGUUGAAGACAUCGAGGCAUUUGUCUGAGAAGG
RNAcentral lists this small nucleolar RNA (140 nucleotides) under Salmo trutta (river trout). The record is from RNAcentral. Lineage: Eukaryota; Metazoa; Chordata; Actinopteri; Salmoniformes; Salmonidae.